UCCAUGUCUUCCUGAUCACUGAUUGUCACA
RNAcentral lists this non-coding RNA (30 nucleotides) under Macaca fascicularis (crab-eating macaque). The record is from RNAcentral. RNAcentral also lists the same sequence under 1 other name. Lineage: Eukaryota; Metazoa; Chordata; Mammalia; Primates; Cercopithecidae.